GGAGCAAACGGGAUUAGAUACCCCGGUAGUCCUAGCCGUAAACGAUGGACACUAGGUGUAGGUGGUAUCGACUCCAUCUGUGCCGCAGUUAACACAAUAAGUGUCCCGCCUGGGGAGUACGGCCGCAAGGUUAAAACUCAAAGGAAUUGACGGGGGCCCGCACAAGCGGUGGAGCAUGUGGUUUAAUUCGACGCAACGCGAAGAACCUUACCUGGGCUUGACAUCCUGUGAACAUUUAAGAGAUUAGGUUUCCGAGCAAUCGGACACAGAGACAGGUGCUGCAUGGCGGUCGUCAGCUCGUGCCGUGAGGUGUUGGGUUAAGUCCCGCAACGAGCGCAACCCUUGUCGUGUGUUGGUCCACAAGAUCUUUCACACGAGACCGCCGGUGACAAGCCGGAGGAAGGUGGGGAUGACGUCAAGUCAGCAUGGCCCUUACGUCCAGGGCUACACACGUGUUACAAUGCGCGCGACAGCGAGUCGCAAACCCGCGAGGGCAAGCUAAUUUUUUAAACGCGCGCUCAGUUCGGAUUGAAGGCUGCA
RNAcentral lists this ribosomal RNA (540 nucleotides) under uncultured bacterium. RNAcentral describes it as "bacterial SSU rRNA". It matches the Rfam family "Bacterial small subunit ribosomal RNA", at positions 765 to 1309 of the family's 1533-position model. The record is from RNAcentral.